GCCUUCGUGGUGUAAUGGUAGCACACUCGACGCGUAUUCGAGAGGUCCAUGUUCGAAUCCCGGAGAGGGCA
RNAcentral lists this transfer RNA (71 nucleotides) under Stegodyphus mimosarum. It matches the Rfam family "tRNA". From Rfam's summary of the family: Transfer RNA (tRNA) molecules are approximately 80 nucleotides in length. Their secondary structure includes four short double-helical elements and three loops (D, anti-codon, and T loops). The record is from Rfam by way of RNAcentral. Lineage: Eukaryota; Metazoa; Arthropoda; Arachnida; Araneae; Eresidae.